AUGGCCAGAUAUUUGUUUUUGGUUCCUGGCUUCUCCCUGCCCUUUAGUCCUCUCGCUCCUGAAGCCUUUGAAGAGAUCAAAUGCCUCGCUGGUCAAGCUUGGAAACAACGCAUUCAAGAAAAUGCAAAGGGUUCGACAACCUAUGCUGGAGCUUAUGGAAACAAUGGGCCAGAUGCACUGCCUGUCCGUAGCUGCGUCAUCCCCUCGUCUCCUACCAGGGCGCAUAAGCCUCAUCCAACUGAAAUCUUUUUAAUAAACCAGCUUCAUCACCUACCUGGACCUUAUGGCAUUCCAAAACGCAGAGAAGCAGCUCACUUUGGGUUUUGUCCACGUGAAGUGAAGAAAUUUCAAGUGUCUCCAAACAAAGUUAAAUAUAAAGCAGCUGCUGUCGCAUCCCCGGUCACACCACUCGAUGUAAUUCAGCAAAGGAUAAAACAUGGCAAUUUAAAUGGUGAGCUCUCCUUAUUAGUUGGAUUGAAGUAUCUUCUCUUUUUCCAAUACAUACACACACUAAAAGGUUUUGAUUUUAUUUUCAUUUUUGCAGUUAUUGCAGGGAGCCAAAGUGGAGAGGGAAAAAAAUUAAUCUCAUCUUCCAGUGAGGAUAUGCUGACUGGCUGGCCUGUGAAAGAGAAUGAUCAUCCCAUUGUAAGUACAAGCUUUCACAGGUUACAAUCUGAGUGA
RNAcentral lists this long non-coding RNA (681 nucleotides) under Anolis carolinensis (green anole). RNAcentral's name for it is "lncRNA (ENSACAG00000032218.2)". Lineage: Eukaryota; Metazoa; Chordata; Lepidosauria; Squamata; Anolidae. The record is from RNAcentral.